Molecule: ribosomal RNA, 434 nt
Filed under: uncultured Lachnospiraceae bacterium
Lineage: Bacteria; Bacillati; Bacillota; Clostridia; Lachnospirales; Lachnospiraceae
Description: partial 16S ribosomal RNA
Rfam family: Bacterial small subunit ribosomal RNA
Source: RNAcentral
ACGGAAGGCAGCAGUGGGGAAUAUUGCACAAUGGGCGAAAGCCUGAUGCAGCGACGCCGCGUGAGUGAAGAAGUAUCUCGGUAUGUAAAGCUCUAUCAGCAGGGAAGAAAAUGACGGUACCUGACUAAGAAGCCCCGGCUAACUACGUGCCAGCAGCCGCGGUAAUACGUAGGGGGCAAGCGUUAUCCGGAUUUACUGGGUGUAAAGGGAGCGUAGACGGUUUGGCAAGUCUGAAGUGAAAUGCGGGGGCUCAACUCCUGAACUGCUUUGGAAACUGUCGAACUAGAGUGCAGGAGAGGUAAGUGGAAUUCCUAGUGUAGCGGUGAAAUGCGUAGAUAUUAGGAGGAACACCAGUGGCGAAGGCGGCUUACAGGACUGUAACUGACGUUGAGGCUCGAAAGCGUGGGGAGCAAACAGGAUUAGAUACCCUGGUA